Molecule: unclassified non-coding RNA, 2245 nt
Filed under: Hevea brasiliensis (rubber tree)
Lineage: Eukaryota; Viridiplantae; Streptophyta; Magnoliopsida; Malpighiales; Euphorbiaceae
Source: RNAcentral
CCCGAACCAUUACUUCCUUAAUUUACUGAAUUUCUCUUUUGCUUUUACAUUUUGGUUAAUGUUUUUGUGAAUAAUUUAUUCGAUUCAUGGAAAUUGAGGGUUGUGAUUUUAAUUUUAGGAUUUAGGGUUGCUGUUGGCUAUUUUUGCUGUCUGAUAGUUAAAGGCAAUAGACAUCUUUUUACGUUGAUGCCUGUGUUUCCCUCUUCAUUUGGUCUUUCAGCUGCUAUUUUGUUAAAUGUAGGGCUUUGGUGAAGUGUAUUUUGCCCUCUAAUUCACUUGAGCUGCUAUUCACGGAUGUUUGCUUGAUAUCUUGUUUAUUUUAAAUAUUUUUGGUGCAUUUGAGCUUUUAGGAUGCAUAAGACUAGUGCUAAAAAAGGCAACUGUUGUAUUUAUAUAGCAUUCAUGAGCAUAGUGAUGAGUGAUGACCCUUAUGAUGGGUUUUGACAAUGUAAUCAGUUUUUUUGGACAACAUGGGUAUGGGCGCUAAGUCCAUUUAGUUUCUAUCAACAAAUUCAAUAGGUUAUUUAUUUAUAACAUGUUAGGUUUCAAUACAGGCAUAUUCAGAGUUGAUUUAAAUGGUAUGAUGCAACUGUAAAAAUUAAUUCCAUAAAGGUCCGUGUGAAAUAAACCUGGGAGAUAUCAUUAUCACUUAUAAACAAGGUGAUUUAGGAGAAUUAUUGCGUGGAAUUAGUUGCUUGCUAUAAUCGACACACAUUGUUUAACUGAUAAUGCCACAUUCCAUCUAGGAAGCAUUUGGUUGCCAGAAUGUAAAAUUUUCAUUUCGAAUCACUUCCUUGCGAGUUCCCAAGCAAGUUUUUACAGGAAAUUUUCAUCUUCUUAUUUGCGUAGGAAUAAAAGAUUCCUAAUAUUGUCACAAAUAAAAUCACAAUAAAGGAAAUAAUGUCUCAUUAAAUUAUUUUUCAUAACUUUCAUUUCAAUGGAAUGUAACAUUUUUAGCCUAUAGGAUGAGAAAAUAUAUUCCUAUGUACAUGAGAAUGUGAUGGUGGGAUUUGCAUAUCUGUUAAUGUAGUUUUCCUGGGAUCUAUAUUCCCAUUCAAACCAAACAUGGGAAAUUUACUUUCUCAAGCCACUCUUAUAGGCAAUUACUCUUAACUGCAAACUGAGGCUUGUUUUUGGAAGCUCUUUAUUUAAAAUAUUUAUCUUUAUUACAUCUUUCUUUUAUUCAUUUUUAGUGUUGGCUUGGCCAUGUUAGUUAUUUCAAUGAUGAACUUGUUCUUAUAUGGCUGUAAGGUCUGUUUUGUGCUACAAAAUAAAAUGAAUAACCAUAAUAAUGAUUUACUACCACUUUUGCAUUGAAAUGCCUAUAUGCUUCUAGCAUUGGUCUCUAACUGUGCAAUGUUUUUCUAGUGGAAAUCUCUCUCUCAAAAAGGCACUUAUUUUGGUGAUAAGUACACUAAAACAAGCAUCUUCAUAUAGUAUCUUCUGUUGCAUCUCAGCAUGCCGUACGUUCAGCCUAAUUAAUCAUCCCUGCGACGCCCCCUCUUCUAUUUCUUCAUUCUCUAUUAUAUCAAUUCUCAGAACAGAUUUAUGCCUUCACUUUUGCAUAAGUUUUUGAAACAUCCAAAUCUUGACAUAUAGUCAGAAAUUUUAAGUUUUAAGUUUUAUUUUUAUUUUUAAAAUGCCUUAUUGGGAUCAUCCUUGUGGAAGUUCAUCUUCAAAAUGGUAGUAAGAUUAAAUCCAUUUGCAUAUGUUGCUCUUUCUAAAUGAUACUAAAUAGAUGAUGUUCUGUCUAGUGUGUGUCCAAUAGCAUCAAGUUACUGUUGAAUCUGUGACACACUUGUUAGUUUGUUGGUGUCAUGUUUGGACCGAGUCAAGGUUUUUGGUCAUAUUUUAGUUUUAUACAGGUGAACAUCCAUCAGGAGUUGAUGUAGGUGUGAUACUUAUUUGAGUGGCAGGUAUGCACUCAACGCUCUUGGAAACGACCUUAUGGUGUUGGACUGCUGGUGGCUGGCUUGGAUGAAUCUGGAGCUCACCUCUACUACAAUUGCCCUAGUGGGAACUAUUUUGAAUAUCAAGCAUUUGCUAUUGGAUCUCGCUCACAAGCUGCAAAGACAUACUUGGAACGCAGGUUUGAGAACUUUACAGACUCCUCACGGGAAGAUCUGAUUAAGGACGCUCUCAUUGCAGUUAGGGAAACCUUACAAGGAGAAACACUCAAGAGUUCCAUUUGCACAGUUGCUGUAGUAGGAAUUGGGGAGGCAUUCCACAUACUGGAUCAGGAAAC